Molecule: ribosomal RNA, 497 nt
Filed under: uncultured bacterium
Lineage: Bacteria
Description: partial 16S ribosomal RNA
Rfam family: Bacterial small subunit ribosomal RNA
Source: RNAcentral
GACGAACGCUGGCGGCGUGCCUAAUACAUGCAAGUAGAACGCUGAAGGGAGGAGCUUGCUCUUCUUGGAUGAGUUGCGAACGGGUGAGUAACGCGUAGGUAACCUGCCUUGUAGCGGGGGAUAACUAUUGGAAACGAUAGCUAAUACCGCAUAACAAUAGGUGACACAUGUCAUUUAUUUGAAAGGGGCAAUUGCUCCACUACAAGAAGGACCUGCGUUGUAUUAGCUAGUAGGUGAGGUAACGGCUCACCUAGGCGACGAUACAUAGCCGACCUGAGAGGGUGGUCGGCCCAACUGGGACUGAGACACGGCCCAGACUCCUACGGGAGGCAGCAGUAGGGAAUCUUCGGCAAUGGGGGCAACCCUGACCGAGCAACGCCGCGUGGGUGAAGAAGGUUUUCGGAUCGUAAAGCUCUGUUGUAAGUCAAGAACGAGUGUGAGAGUGGAAAGUUCACACUGUGACGGUAGCUUACCAGAAAGGGACGGCUAACUACGUG